Caenorhabditis elegans is the source of this 21-nucleotide non-coding RNA. The record is from Ensembl. Lineage: Eukaryota; Metazoa; Nematoda; Chromadorea; Rhabditida; Rhabditidae.
UAAAAUAUGUGUCGAUAAAGC